Molecule: unclassified non-coding RNA, 2142 nt
Filed under: Eurytemora carolleeae
Lineage: Eukaryota; Metazoa; Arthropoda; Copepoda; Calanoida; Temoridae
Description: guanine nucleotide-binding protein subunit beta-1
Source: RNAcentral
CGAUGUUUAUUUUUCAGAAAAAUAUGAAGUUUCGUUUCCCCUGUUUAUGAGAUGUAAUAAGAAUUUAGAUAUUUUAUUGUGAUUAGUCUAGCCGAGUUAGUUUAUAAAUAGUUUUACGAUGAACGAGACGGAGUUAUUGAGGCAGGAGACGGAGCAGCUCAAGAGUGCCAUCAAGGAACGACGUAACGCUGUUAACGAUGCGUCGCUUACAGAGCGUACGCAGUCCAUGAACCAAGUCGGACGCAUUGUUAUGCGUACACGACGAACACUCAGAGGACAUCUGGCAAAAAUAUACGCAAUGCAUUGGGCUUCGGAUUCGAGUAGGAACCUGGUGAGCGCUAGUCAGGAUGGAAAACUGAUUGUCUGGGAUAGUUACAGCACAAAUAAGGUGCACGCCAUACCUCUGCGUAGCUCUUGGGUUAUGACCUGCGCAUAUGCUCCUUCUGGUGCGUAUGUAGCUUGUGGAGGCUUAGACAAUGUGUGUAGUAUAUACAGUUUGAAGACCAGGGAGGGGAACGUUAGGGUCUCAAGGGAGCUCCCAGGACACACUGGGUACCUGUCUUGUUGCCGAUUUAUCGAUGAUAAUCAGAUAGUUACCUCCAGCGGAGAUAUGACCUGCGCGCUCUGGGACGUUGAGACAGGACAGCAGAUGGCUGUGUACAACGGUCAUACUGGAGAUGUUAUGUCACUAUCUCUCUCUCCGGAUCAUAGAACUUUCGUAUCAGGAGCAUGCGAUGCUUCAGCUAAGUUGUGGGAUGUCAGGGAUGGCAACUGUAAACAAACAUUUACUGGACACGAAUCCGAUAUCAACGCUGUCACGUUUUUCCCUAACGGAUACGCCUUUGCUACCGGCUCAGAUGACGCAACUUGUCGGCUCUUCGAUAUCCGUGCUGAUCAGGAGUUAUGUAUGUACAGUCAUGACAACAUAAUCUGCGGGAUAACUAGUGUAGCGUUCAGUAAGUCUGGACGUUUACUCCUGGCAGGAUACGAUGAUUUCAACUGUAAUGUCUGGGACAGUAUGCGUGCAGAGAGAGCAGGUGUCCUGGUUGGACAUGAUAACCGUGUUAGCUGCCUGGGAGUAACAGAUGAUGGUAUGGCGGUGUGCACCGGAUCCUGGGAUUCAUUCCUAAAAGUCUGGAACUAGAUUUUCAGUCGGAAGAUUGCUGACGUGCUAAUAGGAAUCGCACAAGGACGAUUUAUAUAUAUUUAGUGCAACCGCAAAUUCAAAAUUUUGCGCUCGAAGUUGCGUGAAAACUUUUCGCUAACUUCAAUACUUUCAAGAUUUGUACUGUACAUGGUCAAGUACGUUAGGUACAAUGCGUACUGAAGUGUACGUUGAUAUUAUCCAAAAUAGAAGAACGCCUUUUUUACACUUCCUUUACGCCAAUAAAGUGAACAGUUUACUUCGUCUACAGUCUUAAGUGUUUAUAUAUCUAAGUUGUUAUAUUAUGUUGUUCAAAAAUAUUUUUAAAAUAACAUUUUAUCAAUAUUUUUAUCGAUUUUUAAAUAUUUAAGUAGUUUCUGCAUUUAAUUGUUUAGAUUCUUAUGCCCCUCUCCUCCCCCAACACUGCUGAAACUUCGUCUAGAGCACAAACAAAUUUAUUUAACACAAAAACAUGAUUUGAAAAAAUAUUUAAAUCCCGCACAAUGAUGAUCCCCGCAGAAAUGUAACAGAUAUCUAUCAGGGCCUCAAUCGGUUAUAUUUAUAAUAUAAUAAUUUAUUCAAAACAUUCUUCAACGUUCAAGGAUUAUGUAAGAAUUAUUUGAGUGUUAUAUUUCUAACUGAUGAAGGCCCCAUUUUUUUUUAUCUCCGCUGAUUUAUUAUUUGUGAUUACAUCGUUGAACUAGAAAAUAGGGUGCAAGGAAUGCCUGGUGAAUAAUAGCGAUUAAAAACGAUUUAAUCGCUAUUUUCUAGAUUUUUGCGCAAUCCAGCUGUUCCUUGUACCUUUGAAAAUGUGUGGUUGAAUACGUUUUUACUAUGAGUGAUUGUUUCAAGGCUUCUCACUUCCCCCCAAACGGCUAAUAUAUCGUGAAUGCUUUGUGAACUUAUAGUGUGAGAUAACCUGUGUAAGAGGGCGUGUCUAAUUACUUACUCCGCCCUCUCACCGUAAUCAUCGUAAAAAUAAAAUAUUUCUCAACUUA